This 80-nucleotide small RNA is filed under the name Flavobacterium sp. 1. RNAcentral describes it as "Flavo-1 RNA". It matches the Rfam family "Flavo-1 RNA". Lineage: Bacteria; Pseudomonadati; Bacteroidota; Flavobacteriia; Flavobacteriales; Flavobacteriaceae. The record is from RNAcentral.
CCCUAGCCCUGAUAGCAGUGGAAAUCCUUUUAUUUUUUUCUUUAAAAAAUAAAAGAUUGCAACGGAUAGCAGGAAAUAGC